UUCAGAGGUCUCGAGCGUUGUUCGGAUUUACUGGGCGUAAAGGGAGCGUAGGCGGCCGGGUGUGUCGAAUGUGAAAGCCCACAACUCAACUGUGGAAUGGCAUUCGAAACUACCUGGCUAGAGUACUGGAGAGGAGAGCGGAAUUCUUGGUGUAGCGGUGAAAUGCGUAGAUAUCAAGAGGAACACCGGUGGCGAAGGCGGCUCUCUGGACAGAUACUGACGCUGAGGCUCUAAAGUUAGGGGAGCAAACAGGAUUAGAUA
RNAcentral lists this ribosomal RNA (261 nucleotides) under uncultured prokaryote. RNAcentral describes it as "partial 16S ribosomal RNA". It matches the Rfam family "Bacterial small subunit ribosomal RNA", at positions 524 to 784 of the family's 1533-position model. The record is from RNAcentral.